UAGACUCGUUUAGUCUUCUGGCCUACAUCUUUCUCCUGUGCUGGAUGCUUCCUGCCCUCAAACAUCAGACUCCAAGUUCUUCAAUUCUGGCUUCCCUGAUCCUCAGCUUGCAGACGGCCUAUUGUGGGACCUCAUCCUGUGACCAUUCUCCCAUUGAGAACAUUAAGAGAUGGAAACUACUUCCUACUCCUUGAAUAUGGA
Molecule: long non-coding RNA, 201 nt
Filed under: Homo sapiens (human)
Lineage: Eukaryota; Metazoa; Chordata; Mammalia; Primates; Hominidae
Description: HSALNT0386087
Source: RNAcentral